AAAAUUUCAUAAUUUUUAAAGCAUUAAAUUUUUUUAAACAAUUAAAAACAAACACAAAAUCAAUUAAAUUAUAAAAAAUAUUAAUAAUGAUCCAAAAAAUAAUUUUAAUUCAGAAUAUGAAAGAGGAAAUUAUUUGGUGAAACUCUCAUAUUUUUUGGAUCAAUAUUAAAAUUAAUAUGAAUUAAUGAAAAUAAAAUGAAUAAAAGAAAAUAAGAAAAAUACAAAAAAAC
RNAcentral lists this long non-coding RNA (230 nucleotides) under Lathyrus oleraceus (garden pea). RNAcentral describes it as "Pisum sativum (pea) long non-coding RNA (PSAT_LNC001104)". Lineage: Eukaryota; Viridiplantae; Streptophyta; Magnoliopsida; Fabales; Fabaceae. The record is from RNAcentral.